RNAcentral lists this ribosomal RNA (301 nucleotides) under uncultured bacterium. RNAcentral describes it as "partial 16S ribosomal RNA". It matches the Rfam family "Bacterial small subunit ribosomal RNA", at positions 509 to 807 of the family's 1533-position model. The record is from RNAcentral.
CAGCAGCCGCGGUAAUACGUAGGUGGCAAGCGUUGUCCGGAAUUAUUGGGCGUAAAGGGCUCGCAGGCGGUUUCUUAAGUCUGAUGUGAAAGCCCCUGGCUCAACCGGGGAGGGUCAUUGGAAACUGGGAAACUUGAGUGCAGAAGAGGAGAGUGGAAUUCCACGUGUAGCGGUGAAAUGCGUAGAGAUGUGGAGGAACACCAGUGGCGAAGGCGACUCUCUGGUCUGUAACUGACGCUGAGGAGCGAAAGCGUGGGGAGCGAACAGGAUUAGAUACCCCCGUAGUCCCUGUCUCUUAUAC